RNAcentral lists this ribosomal RNA (445 nucleotides) under uncultured bacterium. RNAcentral describes it as "partial 16S ribosomal RNA". It matches the Rfam family "Bacterial small subunit ribosomal RNA", at positions 354 to 796 of the family's 1533-position model. The record is from RNAcentral.
GUGAGGAAUAUUGGUCAAUGGGCGAGAGCCUGAACCAGCCAAGCCGCGUGAAGGAAGAAGGAUCUAUGGUUCGUAAACUUCUUUUGCAGGGGAAUAAAGUGCAGGACGUGUCCUGUUUUGUAUGUACCCUGAGAAUAAGGAUCGGCUAACUCCGUGCCAGCAGCCGCGGUAAUACGGAGGAUCCGAGCGUUAUCCGGAUUUAUUGGGUUUAAAGGGUGCGUAGGUGGUUUGGUAAGUCAGCGGUGAAAGUUUGCAGCUUAACUGUAAAAAUGCCGUUGAAACUGUCGGACUUGAGUGUAAAUGAGGUAGGCGGAAUGCGUGGUGUAGCGGUGAAAUGCAUAGAUAUCACGCAGAACUCCGAUUGCGAAGGCAGCUUACUAAGCUACAACUGACACUGAAGCACGAAAGCGUGGGGAUCAAACAGGAUUAGAAACCCUUGUAGUCC